AUCAACAAACACUGGUAGUUUCAUAUCUACAUCCAUAACACCAGUGAAGCCAACACAAGGUCGAACGCCUCAUAAGUCUAGCACUAAAGCUAUUUUCCCACCUGUGACCCAAGUGAACCCAUCAUCAGAAACAAGGAAAAGGAAGUUGGUAAUAGUUGCGGCUUCUCUUGGAGGUGUUAUCUUAUUCGGACUGGCAUUUCUGUUCACCAAAAGAACUGAUGCCUGUGGAUAUAAGGGAAAGCUCAGCAGUGGAGAGUACUUACCGAGUGGUUAUGAUGAGACGUACAGCAUCGUCACUUAUGAAUGCAGCCACAUUGAAUGACAAACGCUAACCACAGCGUCUCAAGAGGAACCAUCUGCAUCAGACCACAGAGAUAAUGUGUGCAGCAUUUGAAAAACAUUUUGAAGUUAUAGAAUUGUGUUUCUCAUUAAAAUUUGAGAUGGGUCAAACACAAGUUGGAUUUUUGCAGUUAAGUGUUGUUUUAUACUAAUUAAUAUACUACAUACAUAUUAAUCCAUGUUAGCCUUCUCCUAAUCAAUACAUUAAACAUUUUAGCUUUUAUAUCUUUAACAUGUUAGAAAAUGGAUGAAGAGUCUCAAAGGGUUCAGGUUACAGGGGGAGAAUAAGUUAAUCAGUUGUUUGUUUUAGUUUUAUUUCAACUGAGGCAGAAGAAGUAAAAAAGUUCAUGGAAAAAGUGGGGGCCUUGACUUUACUUCAAUACCAACUAGAACAAAAAACACAGCCUGUGCAGCAUAACACUGGACAUAUGAAGUGAAAUAUGGAUUGCAGAGUUGUAUGUUCAGGACAAAAAUGAAUUAACUUCAUGUUUGAUUCAAGCAGAACAUGAACAAGCUAAGUGUUUCUGUAAAGUUGUGAGCAGCGUGUGAACACAUGAUGAACAGACUCUUUCAUUUUCUUCUGGAACUGUGAGCUGACGCUUUGGUAGAUCUGAUAUAAAUACAUAACAUGUUCUAAGUUUUUAAUAAAUUGUGUUUAAUCAAGUA
Eleginops maclovinus (Patagonian blennie) is the source of this 1005-nucleotide long non-coding RNA. RefSeq lists it as uncharacterized. NCBI's taxonomy places the organism in Eukaryota, Metazoa, Chordata, Actinopteri, Perciformes, Eleginopidae. The record is from RefSeq and is a predicted model, not a curated record. The transcript has 6 exons.